AACUGACGCUGAAGCUCGAAAGUGCGGGUAUCGAACAGGAUUAGAUACCCUGGUAGUCCGCACGGUAAACGAUGGAUGCCCGCUAUUCGCUCGAAUGAGUGAGUGGCCAAGCGAAAGCAUUAAGCAUCCCACCUGGGGAGUACGCCGGCAACGGUGAAACUCAAAGGAAUUGACGGGGGCCCGCACAAGCGGAGGAACAUGUGGUUUAAUUCGAUGAUACGCGAGGAACCUUACCCGGGCUUGAAUUGCAGAUGAACGAUCCAGAGAUGGUGAGGCCCUUCGGGGCAUCUGUGAAGGUGCUGCAUGGUUGUCGUCAGCUCGUGCCGUGAGGUGUCGGCUUAAGUGCCAUAACGAGCGCAACCCCUGUUCUUAGUUGCCAUCAGGUAAUGCUGGGCACUCUGGGAAUACUGCCACCGUAAGGUGUGAGGAAGGUGGGGAUGACGUCAAAUCAGCACGGCCCUUACGUCCGGGGCUACACACGUGUUACAAUGGCCGGUACAGAGAGUUGGUCGUGCGCAAGUACGGUCUAAUCCAUAAAACCGGUCUCAGUUCGGACUGGGGUCUGCAACCCGACCCCACGAAGCUGGAUUCGCUAGUAAU
RNAcentral lists this ribosomal RNA (600 nucleotides) under uncultured bacterium. RNAcentral describes it as "bacterial SSU rRNA". It matches the Rfam family "Bacterial small subunit ribosomal RNA", at positions 738 to 1342 of the family's 1533-position model. The record is from RNAcentral.